CCUACGGGAGGCAGCAGUAGGGAAUCUUCCACAAUGGGCGCAAGCCUGAAGGAGCAAAGCCGCGUGCGUGAAGAAGGGUUUCGGCUCGUAAAGCUCUGUUGUUGGGGAAGAACGAGCGUGAGAGUAACUGUUCACGCAGUGACGGUAUCAGACCAGAAAGUCACGGCUUACUACGUGCCAGCAGCCGCGGUAAUACGUAGGUGGCAAGCGUUAUCCGGAUUUAUUGGGCGUAAAGCGAGCGCAGGCGGUUGCUUAGGUCUGAUGUGAAAGCCUUCGGCUUAACCGAAGAAGUGCAUCUGAAACCGGGCGACUUGAGUGCAGAAGAGGACAGUGGAAUUCCAGGUGUAGCGGUGGAAUGCGUAGAUAUAAGGAAGAACACCAGUGGCGAAGGCGGCUGUCUGGUCUGCAACUGACGCUGAGGCUCGAAAGCAUGGGUAGCGAACAGGAUUAGAUACCCGAGUAGUC
This 465-nucleotide ribosomal RNA is filed under the name uncultured bacterium. Its description in RNAcentral is "partial 16S ribosomal RNA". It matches the Rfam family "Bacterial small subunit ribosomal RNA", at positions 338 to 795 of the family's 1533-position model. The record is from RNAcentral.